Molecule: ribosomal RNA, 465 nt
Filed under: uncultured bacterium
Lineage: Bacteria
Description: partial 16S ribosomal RNA
Rfam family: Bacterial small subunit ribosomal RNA
Source: RNAcentral
GACGAACGCUGGCGGCGUGCUUAACACAUGCAAGUCGAACGGAAAGGCCCUGCUUGCGGGGUACUCGAGUGGCGAACGGGUGAGUAACACGUGGGUGAUCUGCCCUGCACUUCGGGGUAAGCCUGGGAAACUGGGUCUAAUACAGGAGAGGGGCCCUUUUGAUGGUGGUGGGUGGAAAGUUUUUUCGGUGUGGGAUGGGCGCGCGGCCUAUCAGCUUGGUGGUGGGGGAAUGGCCUACCAACGCGGGGACGGGUGGCCGGCCGGGGAGGGUGGACGGCCAAAUUGGGACUGAGAUAAGGGCCAGACCCCGACGGGGGGCAGGCGGGGGGAAUAUUGGACAAAGGGGGGAAGCCUGAUGCAGCGACGGCGCGGGGGGGAAGACGGGCUUCGGGUUGUAAACCCGUUUCGCUAGGGACGAAGCUUUUUGUGACGGUAACUAGAUAAGAAGCACCGGCUAACUACGUG